GGUGAUUUGUUGGACGCUAGCGGCGGAUGGGUGAGUAACACGUGGGCAAUCUGCCCUAAAGACUGGGAUACCACUUGGAAACAGGUGCUAAUACCGGAUAACAACAUGAAUCGCAUGAUUCAAGUUUGAAAGGCGGCGCAAGCUGUCACUUUAGGAUGAGCCCGCGGCGCAUUAGCUAGUUGGUGGGGUAAAGGCCUACCAAGGCAAUGAUGCGUAGCCGAGUUGAGAGACUGAUCGGCCACAUUGGGACUGAGACACGGCCCAAACUCCUACGGGAGGCAGCAGUAGGGAAUCUUCCACAAUGGACGCAAGUCUGAUGGAGCAACGCCGCGUGAGUGAAGAAGGUUUUCGGAUCGUAAAGCUCUGUUGUUGGUGAAGAAGGAUAGAGGCAGUAACUGGUCUUUAUUUGACGGUAAUCAACCAGAAAGUCACG
RNAcentral lists this ribosomal RNA (433 nucleotides) under Lactobacillus delbrueckii. Its description in RNAcentral is "bacterial SSU rRNA". It matches the Rfam family "Bacterial small subunit ribosomal RNA", at positions 77 to 495 of the family's 1533-position model. Lineage: Bacteria; Bacillati; Bacillota; Bacilli; Lactobacillales; Lactobacillaceae. The record is from RNAcentral.